RNAcentral lists this unclassified non-coding RNA (315 nucleotides) under plant metagenome. Its description in RNAcentral is "partial contains 5.8S ribosomal RNA, internal transcribed spacer 2, and large subunit ribosomal RNA". The stretch from base 1 to 105 matches the Rfam family "5.8S ribosomal RNA", at positions 50 to 154 of the family's 154-position model. The record is from RNAcentral.
GAAAUGCGAUAACUAGUGUGAAUUGCAGAAUUCCGUGAAUCAUCGAGUCUUUGAACGCACAUUGCGCCCCCUGGUAUUCCGGGGGGCGUGCCUGUCCGAGCGUCAUUGCUGCCCAUCAAGCACGGCUUGUGUGUUGGGUCGUCGUCCCUCUCCGGGGGGGACGGGCCCCAAAGGCAGCGGCGGCACCGCGUCCGAUCCUCGAGCGUAUGGGGCUUUGUCACCCGCUCUGUAGGCCCGGCCGGCGCUUGCCGAACGCAAAUCAAUCUUUUUCCAGGUUGACCUCGGAUCAGGUAGGGAUACCCGCUGAACUUAAGC